RNAcentral lists this ribosomal RNA (466 nucleotides) under uncultured bacterium. RNAcentral describes it as "partial 16S ribosomal RNA". It matches the Rfam family "Bacterial small subunit ribosomal RNA", at positions 28 to 507 of the family's 1533-position model. The record is from RNAcentral.
GACGAACGCUGGCGGCGCGCCUAACACAUGCAAGUCGAACGAGCGGGCGGAGGUUUACUUUCUCAAGCGAUUGGCGAACGGGUGAGUAACGCGUGAGGAACCUGCCUCUAAGAGGCGGACAACAGUUGGAAACGACUGCUAAUACCGCAUAAGCUCACUUCCCCCCCUCGGGUAAAGGGAAAAGGAGCAAUACGCUUUGAGAUGUCAUCGCGUCCGAUUAGCUUGAUGGUGAGGUUAUGGCCCCUCAAUGCCACGAUCGCUAGCCGGACUGAGAGGUUGAACGGCCACAUUGGGACUGAGACACGGCCCAGAAUCCUACGGGAGGCAGCAGUGGGGAAUAUUGCACCAUGGGGGAAACCAUGAUGCAGCGACGACGGGUGGAGGAAGAAGGUCUGCGGAUUGUAAACUCCUGUUGUUGAGGAAGAUAAUGACGGUACUCAACAAGGAAGUGACGGCUAACUACGUG